Molecule: RNA transcript, 608 nt
Organism: Propithecus coquereli (Coquerel's sifaka)
Lineage: Eukaryota; Metazoa; Chordata; Mammalia; Primates; Indriidae
Gene name: peptidyl-prolyl cis-trans isomerase A pseudogene
Exons: 1
Source: RefSeq, a predicted model, not a curated record
ACAGCAGAAAACUUCCAUGCUUUGAGCACUGGAGAGAAAGGAUUUGGUUAUAAGGGUUCCUGCUUUCACAGAAUUAUUCCAGGGUUUAUGUGCCAGGGUGAUGACUUCACACGCCAUAAUGGCACUGGUGGCAAGUCUAUCUACGGGGAGAAAUUUGAUGAUGAGAACUUCAUCCUGAAGCAUACAGGUCCUGGUAUCUUGUCCAUGGCAAAUGCCGGACCCAACACAAACGGUUCCCAGUUUUUCAUCUGCGCUGCCAAGACUGAGUGGUUGGAUGGCAAGCAUGUGGUCUUGGCAAGGUGAAAGAGGGCAUGAAUAUUGUGGAAGCCAUGGAGCGCUUUGGGUCCAGGAAUGGCAAGACCAGCAAGAAGAUCACCAUUGCUGACUGUGGACAGCUCUAAUAAAUUUGACUUAAAUGUUUUAUCUUAACCACCAGACCAUUCCUUCUGUAGCUCAGGAGAGCACCCCCUACCCCAUUUGCUCGCAAUAUCCUGUAAUCUUUGUGCUCUCGCUACAGUUCUUUGGGUUCCAUAUUUUCCUAUUCCCCUCCACAUCUAGCUGGAUUGCAGAGUUAAGUUUAUGAUUAUGAAAUAAAAACUAAAUAACAA